UGGUAAUAUUAUCAAAAUGAUACUAAAUCAGCAGAAAACUAAUUAUUAAAUAUUUUAUUUUAAUAGAUCAUUUAUUAGUCAUUUUACUUUAAUAAAUUACUUUUUAGUAAGGAAUGAUAAAGAUCAACCUGACAAGUGUGUAUGAAAUCCCCUUAAAAAUUAGACCUAACUAUUACUGAGAAAAUAUAGAUACAUCAAAAAGAAACCUAAUAAAUAAAUUAGAACAUAGAAGAAAUAUAAUAAAAGGAUAAUUACAAACUUAUGGCCUUAAUGAACAGGUUCUGCAGGAAUGUUACCUUGGAGGAACACCAUUUAGAAGACAUUAUUUUCAAAACAUGAGUUGUGUUUGUUUUUUUUAUAAAUGGCAUACCAGUACCUUUUUCUAUCCAGAAUUAUAUAACAAUAAAUAUAUUAUUACUGUGCAUUGCAGCAUUUUCAAAAUCUCCCACUCCACAUGCCACCCUGUAUGUAUUUACAAUCUUUUUGCUGAUUUUGUUUUUGACACCAAUUUUUUUUUUUGUUUGUUUGUCUCAAAAACAAUGUUUUUGUUAAUUCUUUCAUACCCCCUU
Molecule: long non-coding RNA, 569 nt
Filed under: Androctonus crassicauda
Lineage: Eukaryota; Metazoa; Arthropoda; Arachnida; Scorpiones; Buthidae
Source: RNAcentral